This 253-nucleotide ribosomal RNA is filed under the name uncultured bacterium. RNAcentral describes it as "partial 16S ribosomal RNA". It matches the Rfam family "Bacterial small subunit ribosomal RNA", at positions 524 to 776 of the family's 1533-position model. The record is from RNAcentral.
UACGUAGGGGGCUAGCGUUGUCCGGAAUCAUUGGGCGCAAAGAGCGUGUAGGCGGUCCGGUAAGUCCGCUGUGAAAGUCGGGGGCUCAACCCUCGAAUGCCGGUGGAUACUGUCGGGCUAGAGUGCGGAAGAGGCGAGUGGAAUUCCUGGUGUAGCGGUGAAAUGCGCAGAUAUCAGGAGGAACACCUAUUGCGAAGGCAGCUCGCUGGGACGUAACUGACGCUGAGACGCGAAAGCGUGGGGAGCAAACAGG